This 292-nucleotide ribosomal RNA is filed under the name uncultured bacterium. RNAcentral's name for it is "partial 16S ribosomal RNA". It matches the Rfam family "Bacterial small subunit ribosomal RNA", at positions 505 to 796 of the family's 1533-position model. The record is from RNAcentral.
GUGUCAGCCGCCGCGGUAAUACGGAGGGUGCGAGCGUUGUUCGAAAUUACUGGGCUUAAAGCGCGUGUAGGCGGGAAGGCAAGUGUCGGGUGAAAUCCCUCGGCUCAACCGAGGAACCGCCCGGCAAACUGCCUUUCUUGAGGCAGGGAGAGGUGACUGGAACGACGGGUGGAGCGGUGAAAUGCGUAGAUAUCCGUUGGAACGCCGGAGGCGAAAGCGGGUCGCUGGCCCUGUCCUGACGCUGAGACGCGAAAGCGUGGGGAGCGAACAGGAUUAGAUACCCGCGUAGUCC